Molecule: long non-coding RNA, 454 nt
Filed under: Vulpes vulpes (red fox)
Lineage: Eukaryota; Metazoa; Chordata; Mammalia; Carnivora; Canidae
Description: lncRNA (ENSVVUG00000021263.1)
Source: RNAcentral
CUGCAUUCAGUGACAUCACAAGGGUAGCUUGAAGUGGCCAUAUUGGGAGUAUUUACAUCAUAGAAACCAGAAAUGCUUUAAAUGUAGGCUUUGGAUCCUUUGCCCCUUUCUCCUCCCUCUGCAUCCAGCCCUACCAUUGUUUGUUUUUGGAGAGUAGCUGCAGAGAGUCCAUAGUGUAAAGAUAGCGUGAGGCCAGUGUAGAACCUUGAGAAACUGGGUCUUAGUGUUAUGCUUUGAAUUAUUAAGAUCAAGCUUUAUGGGAAACCUGCCCUACUUCUCUGGAGUUUUCAGUUAUGAGCAGAAAAUGGAAGACAACCAUGGUAUUAGGAAUUAUUUCAAAUGCCUCCUGGCUGUGCAAUCUGAAAGAAAAAAUAACUUGGUAAUGUUAUACAAUAACAUUAUCUUUCUGAGGAAUUCUUCACUCAUGCAACAUGUGAAAAGAACAACAUUUUAA